RNAcentral lists this long non-coding RNA (377 nucleotides) under Aquila chrysaetos chrysaetos. RNAcentral describes it as "lncRNA (ENSACCG00020014763.1)". The record is from RNAcentral. Lineage: Eukaryota; Metazoa; Chordata; Aves; Accipitriformes; Accipitridae.
CAGCAUGAUGGUGGGUGCAAAUGAAUGAGAGGGAGACUGCAGCAGGUGAGGAAGUUCUCAUUAAGGAGAACUUAAUGAGAUAAUAAAAGCCUCUGUGAAACCUAGAAGUCCCUAUGCCUUUCCUCUGGUGAAACUUUCCUGGCUGGUUGGAGAUAACCCCGUGCCUGUGCUGAAGCUGAUGCAGCAGAUCUGUUAGUCAUUGCAGACUGACACCGAACUGAGAGCACGGUUAGAAACAGGAAAACAAACUGAACUUGGCACGUUUGGUGAGCAGUCCUGGCAGCUGUGGCUUUUCUUCCUCUUUCAUGGUAAGGCCAGUACCAGAGGUUAUCUGCUGGGGUGCUCAAGGCCUUGCUCUAAUGCAUCCUGCAGUCCAG